UAUGGCGACCGGCGCACGGGUGAGUAACACGUAUCCAACCUGCCGAUGACUCGGGGAUAGCCUUUCGAAAGAAAGAUUAAUACCCGAUGGCAUAGUUCUUCCGCAUGGUAGAACUAUUAAAGAAUUUCGGUCAUCGAUGGGGAUGCGUUCCAUUAGGUUGUUGGCGGGGUAACGGCCCACCAAGCCCUCGAUGGAUAGGGGUUCUGAGAGGAAGGUCCCCCACAUUGGAACUGAGACACGGUCCAA
This 246-nucleotide ribosomal RNA is filed under the name uncultured bacterium. Its description in RNAcentral is "partial 16S ribosomal RNA". It matches the Rfam family "Bacterial small subunit ribosomal RNA", at positions 87 to 334 of the family's 1533-position model. The record is from RNAcentral.